Molecule: long non-coding RNA, 563 nt
Filed under: Olea europaea subsp. europaea
Lineage: Eukaryota; Viridiplantae; Streptophyta; Magnoliopsida; Lamiales; Oleaceae
Source: RNAcentral
AAUGAAUUGGCACGAACUACUGUAAUUUCACAGCAAGUUGCGAACUGAGGUAUCCAUGACUCCAUCGGCAGUGUGCUCAUCCGUAGACACAAUGAUAAAAAGAGAAACUGUUAUAUCGGCUUAUUAAUUACAAAAUGAAUUCUAUUCAACACAUUGAACUAUUGAUUCCAGUGGAUUCCACUAUACAAGGAGCUUAAAGAAGCGUCAACAGAGGAAGCAAGAAAGAAAAUCAUUGAGAGAAUAUGUGAAGGUUUGGUCUUGUUGGAUGAGGCUUUUAUCAACUGUAGCAAAGGGAAACCCUUUUAUGGUGGAGAUAAUAUCGGUUACCUUGAUAUUGCACUAGGUUCCUACAUGGGAUGGCUUAAAGCGACAGAGGAAAUAAAUGGCAGGAAAUUUCUUGAUCAACACAAGACCCCGAGCUUGGCACAAAGGGCGGAGAAAUUUUGUUCACAUGAUGCUUUUAAAGAAGUCGUGCCAAAGACUCAGAAGCUAAUGGAAAUUAAUAAAAUGGUCCAAGGCAGGGAAAAACAGCUUCUGUUUGAUAACGCAUAAGAUGAUUAUAG